GCUGGGUCUGGUAGUGCAGACCUGUAAUCCCAGCAACUGGAGAGGCUGAGGCAGGAGGAUUCCAAGUUCAAAGCCUCAGCAACUGAACAAGGCCCUAAGCAACUUAGUGAGACUCUGUCUUUA
RNAcentral lists this small RNA (123 nucleotides) under Marmota monax (woodchuck). The record is from RNAcentral. Lineage: Eukaryota; Metazoa; Chordata; Mammalia; Rodentia; Sciuridae.